RNAcentral lists this ribosomal RNA (540 nucleotides) under uncultured bacterium. Its description in RNAcentral is "bacterial SSU rRNA". It matches the Rfam family "Bacterial small subunit ribosomal RNA", at positions 355 to 896 of the family's 1533-position model. The record is from RNAcentral.
UGAGGAAUAUUGGUCAAUGGACGGAAGUCUGAACCAGCCAAGUAGCGUGCAGGAUGACGGCCCUAUGGGUUGUAAACUGCUUUUGUAUGGGGAUAAAGUCAAUCACGUGUGAUUGUUUGCAGGUACCAUACGAAUAAGGACCGGCUAAUUCCGUGCCAGCAGCCGCGGUAAUACGGAAGGUUCGGGCGUUAUCCGGAUUUAUUGGGUUUAAAGGGAGCGUAGGCCGGAGAUUAAGUGUGUUGUGAAAUGUAGACGCUCAACGUCUGACUUGCAGCGCAUACUGGUUUCCUUGAGUACGCACAACGUUGGCGGAAUUCGUCGUGUAGCGGUGAAAUGCUUAGAUAUGACGAAGAACUCCGAUUGCGAAGGCAGCUGACGGGAGCGCAACUGACGCUUAAGCUCGAAGGUGCGGGUAUCGAACAGGAUUAGAUACCCCGGUAGUCCGCACAGUAAACGAUGGAUGCCCGCUGUUGGUACCUAGUAUCAGCGGCUAAGCGAAAGCAUUAAGCAUCCCACCUGGGGAGUACGCCGGCAACGGUG